RNAcentral lists this ribosomal RNA (444 nucleotides) under Triticum aestivum (bread wheat). RNAcentral's name for it is "partial small subunit ribosomal RNA". The record is from RNAcentral. Lineage: Eukaryota; Viridiplantae; Streptophyta; Magnoliopsida; Poales; Poaceae.
AUGGGCACAUUGGCGGCAGCCGGUGGCAGCGGGAACCCCACCGCCGGAUUCCAGAAGGUGCAGCUCGCCGACGGCGACUUCCAGGUGCAGAGCCCGUACAACGUUCCGGAGAGCCAGCGGUUCCAAUACCGCAACGGUGGCCACGACUACUCGUCGGGGUUGUGGCAGUUUGAGGGCUAUGGCUACGUGCCGUCCGGGACUUCCGGCGUGUCGGUGAUGCAGAUCCACAACGAGGAGGGCGCCGCGCACUCGACGGUGUUGAUGUUGCACGUCUACAACGGAGUCCUGCGGUUCUACAGCGGGGUGGUCAUCGAGCCCAACAUCUACGACCGGUUGUUCCGCCUCAACGUGAUGCAUGAUGUCGGCGCGUCCACGGUGGCCGUUUAUGUCGACGGCGAGCACAAGUUCAGCACCAGCGUGACCCCGAGCAAGUCAUACUACUGA